RNAcentral lists this ribosomal RNA (253 nucleotides) under uncultured bacterium. RNAcentral's name for it is "partial 16S ribosomal RNA". It matches the Rfam family "Bacterial small subunit ribosomal RNA", at positions 524 to 776 of the family's 1533-position model. The record is from RNAcentral.
UACGGAGGGUGCAAGCGUUGUCCGGAUUUACUGGGUUUAAAGGGUGCGCAGGCGGAUAUGUAAGUCAGUGGUGAAAUCUCUAGGCUUAACCUGGAAAUUGCCGUUGAUACUAUAUAUCUUGAAUGUUGUGGAGGUAAGCAGAAUAUGUCAUGUAGCGGUGAAAUGCUUAGAUAUGACAUAGAAUACCUAUUGCGAAGGCAGCUUACUACGCAGAUAUUGACGCUCAUGCACGAAAGCGUGGGGAUCAAACAGG